AGCUGGUAUUGGCGGGUAUUGUGGUAUAAUCCACGAGUGUUAUCUCGAUGUGGAUGAAAUACUAGCCCGUGACAAAAGUGGUGUUCGUUUGGCCCACGCUUGUUUCCAAACCAUGGCCAAUCCCCAUGAAAGUCGUCUAUCCCAGCCUGGAAUCAAUCCACGAAUGAACAGUUGUGGAACUCAUCCCGGCCAACGGCGUAGAAGCAAUGACGGCGACACGAUUUGGAGGAAGUGACGGCGGCGACACAAGGCCCCUUCCACUGAUGUAUGCCCUCUUCGUUGGCGAUCUUCUCUCGUGUAGAGUCGUCGCCAUCGUCUUCUUCUUGGGAAAAAUCUGUUAUUGGCUUUGUAUAUUGAUAAGAAAACAACUACAACGCACCAAUAGUGUGCUGGGAACUAUGUACAUUUUCUGUUGGGGAGAACUAGCGAUGUUAUUCAUCCUAUUGCAAGCUGUUGCUUUGGCCGACCUGCCUUUUUGUUGUUACUUUGUGCACUUCUGCUUAUCUGCUUUUCACGGACUUGUAAUUCCCAGUCUUUCAUAUACAUUCCUUCCUUUGUCUUUUGUACGUUUUUAAAUUCUUGCAUUUUAAAGAGUGCCUUAGUUCCUAGUUGCAUGUGCAUGUUGGGUUGCUCUUGUGGGUUGUGGCAUAGAGAUGGGGAAUUGCUUCUGUCGGAGAGAAAAUUCUCCGGCCAGGUGGCGGAAUGCACCCUCCCUAAAUCCUAAGAUGAGGAGGGGCCUAAGCGUUUUGCCCGUCUGCUAAGCGAUGAAUGAACACAAGAACACACAAGGGUUUAGAGUAGUUCGGGCCGUCAGAGCGUAAUACCCUACUCCACUGUGUGAUGUAUUGAGCUUGAGAGCUUGUAUGAACUUGUGAGCUUGAGCUAGGUCUAAGUCAGCUUGAGUUGUAAUGUUGCGUGCCUCCCCUUUUAUAGCUAAAGGGGGGCACACACAAGGGUGCUGAGCCCCGACAUGCGGGCCCAGGGA
RNAcentral lists this unclassified non-coding RNA (985 nucleotides) under Zea mays. RNAcentral's name for it is "misc RNA Zm00001eb034380". Lineage: Eukaryota; Viridiplantae; Streptophyta; Magnoliopsida; Poales; Poaceae. The record is from RNAcentral.